Long non-coding RNA from Perca fluviatilis (European perch), 295 nucleotides. RefSeq lists it as uncharacterized. The transcript has 3 exons. The record is from RefSeq and is a predicted model, not a curated record. NCBI's taxonomy places the organism in Eukaryota, Metazoa, Chordata, Actinopteri, Perciformes, Percidae.
UGCUUGUAGUUCCUGCUGAUCUCCACCAGAGGGCGCCAUUACACCAGACACCAGCAGCUGACAGCUGGAACUCACACACUGAACUUUUAAAGAUGAACACUCGGAGCUCCUCGGUGGAUCAUCCUCAGAGACGGUACUGUGGUGAGGGACGCUGUCCUGACUCCAGGAGACGCAGGUUCGAUCCCCGCCUCAGGUACGCCACACAGAGCUCUGGGACGCCGACUACCAGCAGCAGUUGUUUAGCCGCCAACACGUGACUGUGAGCUGGCUCCACGUACCACCAGAUGACGGGGCU